Molecule: ribosomal RNA, 111 nt
Filed under: Microcebus murinus (gray mouse lemur)
Lineage: Eukaryota; Metazoa; Chordata; Mammalia; Primates; Cheirogaleidae
Source: RNAcentral
UACACGAACCAUACUACCCUGAAUGCACCUGAUCUCACCUGAUCUUGGAAACUCAGCUGGGUCGGGCCUGGUUGGCACUUGGGUGGGAGAGCUCACCAUGAGCCCGUGUUU